AAAACUUGCAGGGAAAGCUGAAGCAUAAUAUUAUAGUAAAAUAUAUAUAUAUAUAUAUAAUAUAUUAUAUAUAAGUAUUUAAACUUUAGACUUUAUGUAUGUAUUAUAGUAUACAUCUUAUAUUAUAUAUAUAUAUACUGGCUAAACUUACAGUAGAGUAAUGUGUUGAAACUUGAGGGGAAAAUCACUUUUUGAGAGAGACUGGCUUUCCAGCAUUUUCUUGGAGAGAUGUGGUUUCAUGGAAGAAUGGUGUCUGAGCUACAUUUUGUCUUAUUCUAAAGAUAAAAAGAUGACAGAAGCCAGUGGACUUCGUAUCACUACAGAGGAGAGACAACAUUUGUAAGUAAUGGGUGGUUAUUUUUAUUAAGUAUAAUUAAGAUUUUUUAAUUCUUGUAUUUACAGUGAAAGAAAAAAAAUUGUACAAUCCACAAUGACUCAAGGCAGGAGAAUGACCCUCAGUGUGUAAAACUCUGAACAGUGUGGCAGGAACAGAGAUGUUCUCAAAGAGCAAAAAGCCUGCUACUGAAUCAGGAAAAUCUGGAUGGAAGAGCAGCAAGAAUAGCUCCAAGUAUUUUAGCUAAGAACUUGGAAGAAAAGCUACUUCUCCUUUCUCUCACAUUUUCUCUUCCCCUUCUUCAAUGUUUAAUUAACAACCACUCAUUCCAGAGCCACCCUAGACACACGAGAGGCUUCUUCUCAAAAACUCCUUCUUCUUCCCGUAAUUUUGAGAGCAAGAUCUUCCUAGUAAAGGGGUGAAGGCAACUUUUCUCUGUGUCAAAUUAGCUGUUGCUCAGCAAAUAGAAGUUAAAUGCUGCUAUAUGAAGCAAAUAAACACGUGCUAGCAUGAAAUCUGUGGCAGCAUCCUCAGUACCCUACUUCAGUCAACAGAACUAUCCAGGACAGAUCUCCUAAAAACAUAAGUUAUUGACACUAUAAUGAGAUUCUCUUUUUGUACUGAC
This 959-nucleotide long non-coding RNA is filed under the name Macaca mulatta (Rhesus monkey). RNAcentral's name for it is "lncRNA (ENSMMUG00000045269.2)". Lineage: Eukaryota; Metazoa; Chordata; Mammalia; Primates; Cercopithecidae. The record is from RNAcentral.